This 1544-nucleotide ribosomal RNA is filed under the name Salmonella enterica subsp. enterica serovar Reading. RNAcentral's name for it is "partial 23S ribosomal RNA". It matches the Rfam family "Bacterial large subunit ribosomal RNA", at positions 1273 to 2802 of the family's 2925-position model. The record is from RNAcentral. Lineage: Bacteria; Pseudomonadati; Pseudomonadota; Gammaproteobacteria; Enterobacterales; Enterobacteriaceae.
CUGGAGGUAUCAGAAGUGCGAAUGCUGACAUAAGUAACGAUAAAGCGGGUGAAAAGCCCGCUCGCCGGAAGACCAAGGGUUCCUGUCCAACGUUAAUCGGGGCAGGGUGAGUCGACCCCUAAGGCGAGGCCGAAAGGCGUAGUCGAUGGGAAACGGGUUAAUAUUCCCGUACUUGGUGUUACUGCGAAGGGGGGACGGAGAAGGCUAUGUUGGCCGGGCGACGGUUGUCCCGGUUUAAGCGUGUAGGCUGGUUUUCCAGGCAAAUCCGGAAAAUCAAGGCUGAGGCGUGACGACGAGGCACUACGGUGCUGAAGCAACAAAUGCCCUGCUUCCAGGAAAAGCCUCUAAGCAUCAGGUAACAUCAAAUCGUACCCCAAACCGACACAGGUGGUCAGGUAGAGAAUACCAAGGCGCUUGAGAGAACUCGGGUGAAGGAACUAGGCAAAAUGGUGCCGUAACUUCGGGAGAAGGCACGCUGACACGUAGGUGAAGUGAUUUACUCAUGGAGCUGAAGUCAGUCGAAGAUACCAGCUGGCUGCAACUGUUUAUUAAAAACACAGCACUGUGCAAACACGAAAGUGGACGUAUACGGUGUGACGCCUGCCCGGUGCCGGAAGGUUAAUUGAUGGGGUCAGCGCAAGCGAAGCUCCUGAUCGAAGCCCCGGUAAACGGCGGCCGUAACUAUAACGGUCCUAAGGUAGCGAAAUUCCUUGUCGGGUAAGUUCCGACCUGCACGAAUGGCGUAAUGAUGGCCAGGCUGUCUCCACCCGAGACUCAGUGAAAUUGAACUCGCUGUGAAGAUGCAGUGUACCCGCGGCAAGACGGAAAGACCCCGUGAACCUUUACUAUAGCUUGACACUGAACAUUGAGCCUUGAUGUGUAGGAUAGGUGGGAGGCUUUGAAGUGUGGACGCCAGUCUGCAUGGAGCCGACCUUGAAAUACCACCCUUUAAUGUUUGAUGUUCUAACGUGGACCCGUGAUCCGGGUUGCGGACAGUGUCUGGUGGGUAGUUUGACUGGGGCGGUCUCCUCCUAAAGAGUAACGGAGGAGCACGAAGGUUGGCUAAUCCUGGUCGGACAUCAGGAGGUUAGUGCAAUGGCAUAAGCCAGCUUGACUGCGAGCGUGACGGCGCGAGCAGGUGCGAAAGCAGGUCAUAGUGAUCCGGUGGUUCUGAAUGGAAGGGCCAUCGCUCAACGGAUAAAAGGUACUCCGGGGAUAACAGGCUGAUACCGCCCAAGAGUUCAUAUCGACGGCGGUGUUUGGCACCUCGAUGUCGGCUCAUCACAUCCUGGGGCUGAAGUAGGUCCCAAGGGUAUGGCUGUUCGCCAUUUAAAGUGGUACGCGAGCUGGGUUUAGAACGUCGUGAGACAGUUCGGUCCCUAUCUGCCGUGGGCGCUGGAGAACUGAGGGGGGCUGCUCCUAGUACGAGAGGACCGGAGUGGACGCAUCACUGGUGUUCGGGUUGUCAUGCCAAUGGCACUGCCCGGUAGCUAAAUGCGGAAGAGAUAAGUGCUGAAAGCAUCUAAGCACGAAACUUGCCCCGA